CCUACGGGAGGCAGCAGUGAGGAAUAUUGGUCAAUGGACGAUAGUCUGAACCAGCCAAGUAGCGUGAAGGAUGACUGCCCUAUGGGUUGUAAACUUCUUUUAUAUGGGAAUAAAAUGUUCCACGUAUGUGAUUUUGUAUGUACCUUAUGAAUAAGGAUCGGCUAACUCCGUGCCAGCAGCCGCGGUAAUACGGAGGAUCCGAGCGUUAUCCGGAUUUAUUGGGUUUAAAGGGAGCGUAGGUGGAUUGUUAAGUCAGUUGUGAAAGUUUGCGGCUCAACCGUAAAAUUGCAGUUGAUACUGGCAGGCUUGAGUACAGUAGAGGUAGGCGGAAUUCGUGGUGUAGCGGUGAAAUGCUUAGAUAUCACGAAGAACUCCGAUUGCGAAGGCAGCUCACUGGACUGCAACUGACACUGAGGCUCGAAAGUGUGGGUAUCAAACAGGAUUAGAUACCCGUGUAGUC
RNAcentral lists this ribosomal RNA (460 nucleotides) under uncultured bacterium. RNAcentral's name for it is "partial 16S ribosomal RNA". It matches the Rfam family "Bacterial small subunit ribosomal RNA", at positions 338 to 795 of the family's 1533-position model. The record is from RNAcentral.